This 450-nucleotide ribosomal RNA is filed under the name uncultured bacterium. RNAcentral describes it as "bacterial SSU rRNA". It matches the Rfam family "Bacterial small subunit ribosomal RNA", at positions 354 to 796 of the family's 1533-position model. The record is from RNAcentral.
GUAGGGAAUCUUGGGCAAUGGGCGCAAGCCUGAUCCAGCAAUGCCGCGUGCAGGAAGAAGGCCUUCGGGUUGUAAACUGCUUUUGUACGGAACGAAACGGCUCUGGUUAAUACCUGGGGCUAAUGACGGUACCGUAAGAAUAAGCACCGGCUAACUACGUGCCAGCAGCCGCGGUAAUACGUAGGGUGCAAGCGUUAAUCGGAAUUACUGGGCGUAAAGCGUGCGCAGGCGGUUUUGUAAGACAGGCGUGAAAUCCCCGGGCUCAACCUGGGAAUGGCGCUUGUGACUACAAGGCUGGAGUGCGGCAGAGGGGGAUGGAAUUCCGCGUGUAGCAGUGAAAUGCGUAGAUAUGCGGAGGAACACCGAUGGCGAAGGCAAUCCCCUGGGCCUGCACUGACGCUCAUGCACGAAAGCGUGGGGAGCAAACAGGAUUAGAUACCCUGGUAGUCC